Molecule: long non-coding RNA, 1069 nt
Filed under: Papio anubis (olive baboon)
Lineage: Eukaryota; Metazoa; Chordata; Mammalia; Primates; Cercopithecidae
Description: lncRNA (ENSPANG00000039365.1)
Source: RNAcentral
ACUACCUUAAAUUAAGGGCGGUACAUUUAGUGAGGUUAUCCUAACUCACUCAUUUGGAAAGUGUUGAAACUUCUUGAAGGAGUCCCAUCUUUUUGUCUUCUUGUGGUUUGUUUGAUAUUCAUUACCCUCUUUCAUCCCCUAUGAUUCCUUUCUCUCCCUCUGACUCCACCCCUCCACCCAGUCCCAGUUCCAUGUCAAAUCUGAAGAAUCUUAAAGGGAACUAUCACAGUCACCAAGGACUUAUCAUCAUCACCAAGAUUGAUCCCAUAUGGUGUCUACAAAGAGGAAGGUUUGUUUAGUUUCUACAAUGGAAGAAACCCCAUCUCAGGUGCUAAUUACAGUUCCAGAACUAAUCUGUCAUUUGUUUCCAAGAUGUUUGAAGAGGUGUCUCACUCCAUUCUUAUCCUUCAAGCUGGCCUCUCAGAAUGUCAGUGGGGAUUUCCAGAAGCUUCAUCUAUUAGCCAUGCAUUGAUCUGGAAUCUGAGUAUUUGCUUCUAAAGUGAUGUGCUGCCAGAGAGGUAGAAAGACACAAAAGGGUAAUCACAGGAAACGCCGGAUUAGGAUGGCUCCGGCCACCCCCUCCAAUGCUAUCCAUAUGGCAUUGGUUCCUGAAGCAUCCUGUCCUCAGCUACAACAUGACAACUAUUAGCAGAGUUUUGAGUGUGUUCCUUUUAAAGAAAGAAGUGCUUUACUGUUUGGUUUCUUCCCAGGAUCUUCAUUGUUUGGCCGACUGUGUUUAGAGAAGCCAGGAAAGCCCAGCUGUAAGAAGGAAGAUUUGUCUGGCUCUCCUAAUUGCUUGUCCAGUUACUGGAGCAUUACAGCUCAUGCCAAUGGCCACACUAUUGAAGAGCCAGCCAGAAAUGGACAUGAAAGGAGAAAGGACACAUAAAAGCAAUUCUGCUCUAGUAAACUGUGUCAUGGCAUUCAAGGAGGGGAAAGGCAAACAACUCAAAAUACAACCUUAAAAUGUGCUCAGCAAGAAACAAACUGCACACUGGGGGCCUCCGGAACUUUGUUUGGAUGCAAAGUUCAGUUAUACGCUCAACUAAUGAGUUACUAGAGCCCAGGC